GUCUACGGCCAUACCAACCUGAAUGCGCCCUAGCUCAUCUGAUCUCGGAAGCUAAGCAGGGUUGAGCCUGAUUAGUACUUGGAUGGGAGACAAAUAUUCAGAAGUGACUGCUCAGAGACA
RNAcentral lists this ribosomal RNA (120 nucleotides) under Castor canadensis (American beaver). The record is from RNAcentral. Lineage: Eukaryota; Metazoa; Chordata; Mammalia; Rodentia; Castoridae.